UUGUACCAUUCUAAUCCUUGCUGUUCAGUCAGAGAUCUUCCAGGCUUCUUUUGUGGACUAGAGCACCCUAGAAGCCCUGCCAAAGUUGAACAAGGCCUUUGUAGCCUCAUGCAAGUGACACUUCUUAACACAC
This 133-nucleotide small nucleolar RNA is filed under the name Nannospalax galili (Upper Galilee mountains blind mole rat). Lineage: Eukaryota; Metazoa; Chordata; Mammalia; Rodentia; Spalacidae. The record is from RNAcentral.